This 306-nucleotide unclassified non-coding RNA is filed under the name plant metagenome. RNAcentral's name for it is "partial contains 5.8S ribosomal RNA, internal transcribed spacer 2, and large subunit ribosomal RNA". The stretch from base 1 to 105 matches the Rfam family "5.8S ribosomal RNA", at positions 50 to 154 of the family's 154-position model. The record is from RNAcentral.
GAAAUGCGAUAAGUAAUGUGAAUUGCAGAAUUCAGUGAAUCAUCGAAUCUUUGAACGCACAUUGCGCCCGCCAGUAUUCUGGCGGGCAUGCCUGUUCGAGCGUCAUUUCAACCAUCAAGCCCCGCGCUUGUGUUGGGGACCUGCGGCUGCCGCAGGCCCUGAAAACCAGUGGCGGGCUCGCUGUCACACCGAGCGUAGUAGAUUUCUCAUCUCGCUCAGGGCGUGCUGCGGGUUCCGGCCGUUAAAAAGCCUUAUUUUACCCAAGGUUGACCUCGGAUCAGGUAGGAAGACCCGCUGAACUUAAGC